UACAGAGGUCUCAAGCGUUGUUCGGAUUCAUUGGGCGUAAAGGGUGCGUAGGUGGCGAGGUUAGUCAGGUGUGAAAUCUCGGGGCUCAACCCCGAAACUGCACUUGAUACUGCCUUGCUAGAGUACUGGAGAGGAGAUUGGAAUUUACGGUGUAGCAGUGAAAUGCGUAGAUAUCGUAAGGAAGACCAGUGGCGAAGGCGAAUCUCUGGACAGUUACUGACACUGAGGCACGAAGGCCAGGGGAGCAAACGGG
Molecule: ribosomal RNA, 253 nt
Filed under: uncultured bacterium
Lineage: Bacteria
Also listed under: 2 other names
Description: partial 16S ribosomal RNA
Rfam family: Bacterial small subunit ribosomal RNA
Source: RNAcentral